Non-coding RNA from Pelobates cultripes (western spadefoot toad), 225 nucleotides. The record is from the annotation of a GenBank genome assembly. Lineage: Eukaryota; Metazoa; Chordata; Amphibia; Anura; Pelobatidae.
GUGAGCAUAACAUCUGUGACUGGGAAAAUAUUUGAAGGGUUAUUAAGGGAUAAUAUUCAGGAAUUCAUUGGGAAGAACUUUGUUAUUAGCAAUAAUCAGCAUGGUUUUAUGAAACAUAGGUCAUGUCAAACUAACCUAAUUGCAUUCUAUGAACAAGUAAGUAGAAGUAUAGAUCAGGGUGUUGCAGUGGAUGUGAUCUACUUGAAUUUUGCCAAGGCAUUUGAU